AAUCAACGCUGGCGGCGUGCCUAACACAUGCAAGUCGAACGCGACUGGGGCUUCGGCCUCAGUUGAGUGGCGAACGGGUGAGUAACACGUGGGUGACCUACCUUCGAAUGGGGGAUAACGUCCCGAAAGGGACGCUAAUACCGCAUAACAUCCUGCCUUUGAACAGGCGGAGAUCAAAGCCGGGGAUCGCAAGACCUGGCGUUUGAAGAGGGGCCUGCGUCCGAUUAGCUAGNGGUGAGGUAACGGCUCACCAAGGCGACGAUCGGUAGCCGGCCUGAGGAGGGCGGACGGCCACACUGGGACUGAGACGACGGCCCAGACUCCUACGGGAGGCAGCAGUGGGGAAUGUUCGCAAUGGGCGCAAGCCUGACGACGCAACGCCGCGUGGAGGA
Molecule: ribosomal RNA, 392 nt
Filed under: uncultured bacterium
Lineage: Bacteria
Description: bacterial SSU rRNA
Rfam family: Bacterial small subunit ribosomal RNA
Source: RNAcentral